RNAcentral lists this small nucleolar RNA (85 nucleotides) under Tetranychus urticae (two-spotted spider mite). Its description in RNAcentral is "snoRNA tetur01g16453". Lineage: Eukaryota; Metazoa; Arthropoda; Arachnida; Trombidiformes; Tetranychidae. The record is from RNAcentral.
AUCACCACUUGAGAAAAAUUUGUUGCCAAAAGAUGAUAAUCAUGGGAAUGAAAAUUUUCAUCACCAUCUUGGUGGUGAUGGUGAU